Molecule: ribosomal RNA, 406 nt
Filed under: uncultured bacterium
Lineage: Bacteria
Description: partial 16S ribosomal RNA
Rfam family: Bacterial small subunit ribosomal RNA
Source: RNAcentral
AUUGACCGCUGGCGGCAGGCCUAACACAUGCAAGUCGAACGAGUGGCGGACGGGUGAGUAAUGUCCGGGAAACUGCUCGAUGGAGGGGGAUAACUACUGGAAACGGUAGCUAAUACCGCAUACCAUUGGAUGUGCCCAGAUGGGAGUAGCUAGGAGGUGGGGUAACGGCUACCCUAGGCGAAGAUGCCUAGCUGGUCGGAGAGGAUGACCAGCCACACUGGAACUGAGACACGGUCCAGACUCCUACGGGAGGCAGCAGUGGGGAAUAUUGCACAAUGGGCGCAAGCCUUAUGCAGCCAUGCCGCGUGUAUGAAGAAGGCCUUCGGGUUGUAAAGUACUUUCAGCGAGGAGGCGUUACUCGCAGAAGAAGCACCGGCUAACUCCGUGCCAGCAGCCGCGGUAAUUC